CCCGAAACAAACCCUUAACCGGAAAUUCAACAAGGAACAGCUUCAACCGCCAACUCUCGAAGGUGUAUUCAAGCUAAAAAAGAAGAAAAUAUAUGGUAAUAUCGAAAGCUUGCAACUGCUAGGUCACAACUUUCAAACUCGUCAACCAUGUUAUUCAAUCGAUAUAAGUAUCAUAUAAGUUAUUUAUCGGAUACCUUACUCACCUGCAUGCCGUGUAUGACAUUUGUACC
Molecule: non-coding RNA, 230 nt
Organism: Pelobates cultripes (western spadefoot toad)
Lineage: Eukaryota; Metazoa; Chordata; Amphibia; Anura; Pelobatidae
Source: the annotation of a GenBank genome assembly